CCUACGGGAGGCAGCAGUGGGGAAUAUUGGACAAUGGGCGAAAGCCUGAUCCAGCAAUGCCGCGUGAGUGAUGAAGGCCUUAGGGUUGUAAAGCUCUUUUACCCGAGAUGAUAAUGACAGUAUCGGGAGAAUAAGCUCCGGCUAACUCCGUGCCAGCAGCCGCGGUAAUACGGAGGGAGCUAGCGUUGUUCGGAAUUACUGGGCGUAAAGCGCACGUAGGCGGCUUUUUAAGUCAGGGGUGAAAUCCCGGGGCUCAACCCCGGAACUGCCCUUGAAACUGGGAAGCUAGAAUCUUGGAGAGGCGAGUGGAAUUCCGAGUGUAGAGGUGAAAUUCGUAGAUAUUCGGAAGAACACCAGUGGCGAAGGCGACUCGCUGGACAAGUAUUGACGCUGAGGUGCGAAAGCGUGGGGAGCAAACAGGAUUAGAUACCCUAGUAGUCCACGCCGUAAACGAUGAUAACUAGCUGUCCGGGUUCAUGGAACUUGGGUGGCGCAGCUAACGCAUUAAGUUAUCCGCCUGGGGAGUACGGUCGCAAGAUUAAAACGUCAAAAGAAUUGACGGCUGAGACGUUGCGAGACGACGACGAGGGAGAGG
This 595-nucleotide ribosomal RNA is filed under the name uncultured bacterium. Its description in RNAcentral is "bacterial SSU rRNA". It matches the Rfam family "Bacterial small subunit ribosomal RNA", at positions 338 to 956 of the family's 1533-position model. The record is from RNAcentral.